This 74-nucleotide transfer RNA is filed under the name Limulus polyphemus (Atlantic horseshoe crab). RNAcentral's name for it is "tRNA-Thr". It matches the Rfam family "tRNA". From Rfam's summary of the family: Transfer RNA (tRNA) molecules are approximately 80 nucleotides in length. Their secondary structure includes four short double-helical elements and three loops (D, anti-codon, and T loops). The record is from RNAcentral. Lineage: Eukaryota; Metazoa; Arthropoda; Merostomata; Xiphosura; Limulidae.
GGCGUCGUGGCUUAGUUGGUUAAAGCGCCUGUCUAGUAAACAGGAGAUCGUGGGUUCGAAUCCCACCGAUGUCU